CUAAGAAUAUUCCGCAAUGGACGGAAGUCUGACGGAGCGACGCCGCGUGGAUGACGAAGGCCGAAAGGUUGUAAAGUCCUUUUGCUGGGGAAGAAUAACCGCAGGAGGGAAUGCCUGUGGGAUGACAAGAACCGGCGAAUAAGCCCCGGCCAACUACGUGCCAGCAGCCGCGGUAACACGUAGGGGGCGAGCGUUGUUCGGAAUUACUGGGCGUAAAGGGCAUGUAGGCGGCUUGGAAAGCCUGGCGUGAAAGUCUGCAGCUUAACUGCAGGGGUGCGCUGGGAACUGCUGAGCUUGAGUGACGGAGAGGGAGCUGGAAUUCCUGGUGUAGGGGUGAAACCUGUAGAUAUCAGGAAGAACACCGAUGGCGAAGGCAAGCUCCUGGCCGAUGACUGACGCUGAGGUGCGAAAGUGUGGGGAUCAAACAGGAUUAGAUACCCUGGUAGUCCACACAGUCAACGAUGUGCACUAGGUGCUGGGGCGGUAGCUUCGGUGCCGGAGCGAACGUGGUAAGUGCACCGCCUGGGGGGAGUAUGCUCGCAA
RNAcentral lists this ribosomal RNA (543 nucleotides) under uncultured bacterium. RNAcentral describes it as "partial 16S ribosomal RNA". It matches the Rfam family "Bacterial small subunit ribosomal RNA", at positions 355 to 891 of the family's 1533-position model. The record is from RNAcentral.